Molecule: long non-coding RNA, 1330 nt
Organism: Lathyrus oleraceus (garden pea)
Lineage: Eukaryota; Viridiplantae; Streptophyta; Magnoliopsida; Fabales; Fabaceae
Exons: 3
Source: RefSeq, a predicted model, not a curated record
UAUAAAGUAUACAUUCACCCUAUGGCUCUCUUCGCUUCAACAUUGAUUCCCAGCGUCUCUCACUUAUUGUUUCAACAUAAAAUCCCUAUGCAAAUCUAUGCUUAAGCUCCAUCACCGAAUUCCUCCCCAAAUUCGAGUUCAGCGUUCAUCCUCACCAAAUCAAAAUUGACGAUUCCACACCGAAGUCAAGGUCAGAUCAAGAACAUCGUUCGUAAAGCAACAAAAGUGACGCAGAAAACAUGACCUCAAUAUCAAUCCCCUUACCGAAGUCGAAUCUUGCAUUCAUCGUUCAUACUCCAAUCAUCUUCGUGCGCGUGGAAUCAGGACGAACAGAAUCGAAGCUAAGUCGUGAUUGAAUCGAAUUUUGCAUGCAUAAUUGAAAAGGAACAAAAACCGAAUCGGAGGGAGAAUACUAACCGCAAUGGAGAUGCGAUGCACACAGGGCUGCAAUUGUCAUGCUUGAAUGAACAUUUUGGUCAUGGUUUGCAUGGAUUCAAGGGGUAUUCUGACUUGUUCUUGGUUCUGCAGGUUGACUUGCUCAAGUUAGGUUCAUGGCAUGAUGGCAUUGAAGAUAAUGUGCAAAUGGCCAAAUCAAAAUCAAGAUGGAAUUGGAAAAUGGGAUUAGAACUAGGAUCGGAGAUUUAGUGCUUUUAGGAUGGAAAAGAAUUUGGGUUGACUUUGGUUAAAGUUGACCAAAGUCAACAUUUGGUCAACAUGUAUUUUUUUUUUUUGCAUUUUUGUAUGUGUUAAGAAGUAUGGUUGGGUCUAACUCAAGCCUACAAAACCGAUUGGUAAAGUGAGGACUGCCCCCACUUAUAAACAAAUGUUCAGGCCAUAUAUUGUCUGAUGUGGAACUCUUAACACCCCCCUUCAUGCCCAGGACUGGACAUCUAGAGCGUGGAAAUAAAUGGUGGGUGGUCCGAUAGCGGAAACCAUAAUAGGAGGCCCACCGGAUCUUAAACGAGAUUCUUGAUACCAGUUGAGAAAAUCCUUGUGUACCGGUAAAUUCAUGACCAUCAAGUUAUGGGUGAGUUUAACGUCGAUAAAAUCAGAGUCGCCACCGCGUUUUUAUUGUUUCCAAAGGAAAAGAGAAAAGUACGAACAAAGCCCAAAUAUUAGAAGUUUUCAAAUUAAGAGUAAUAAAAUGCUAGAGAUUACAGGUAAGGGGGUUGGUUACACAGAAGAAAUGUGUUAGCACCCAAAGUGUCCUAGGUACUCUUAAAGAGCUCUUUUUAUGUGUGUAUGUGUUUUUUGGUAUAAAAGAUGUUUGAGAAAAAUAGAGUGUAGGGAUGAGAAAAUAAUUCAUUGAUUAUAUUUUUGUAUUUGACAA